Molecule: RNA transcript, 2617 nt
Organism: Brassica oleracea var. oleracea
Lineage: Eukaryota; Viridiplantae; Streptophyta; Magnoliopsida; Brassicales; Brassicaceae
Gene name: BTB/POZ domain-containing protein At1g30440-like
Exons: 4
Source: RefSeq, a predicted model, not a curated record
GUAUAAAGCAACAAGAACUGGUAAGUUACUUCUCUGCUUAGCUGUUCUUGUCUAGCUGGGUUUUUGGGGGUUCAUCUUCUUUCUUUCUUUUCAUUACUUUGCUGGGGGAAAAGGUUUUAAUUUGGUGUUACAGAUAAGAUUAUUUAAGAUUCUGAGUUUCUUUUAGUGGGGGGCUUUGGCCAAGGGGAUCUCUCUAUAUUAUUACACAUUCCGUGUGAUUCUUUUGGGCGUUGAGGUUUUAAUUUCUGGAAGAUUAAUGUGAGCUACUGAGAGUGAAGAAAGGAGGUAGCUUUUAAGUGUUUGUUUUCUGAGUGAAAUUGAUCUGGGUAUUAAGGGAUAGAUCCAAAGUCUCGUUCUUUCUGGGAAAAUUAGCAGUUUUUUUUUUUUUUUUUGUUUGGUUGUUGUACGUUAGGGUUUUUGGAGGCUUAGCUAUUGUAAGUUUCUUUGUUGGAUUCUGUUGAGUGAGAGAAAGUAUGGCUUGCAUGAAGCUGGGAUCCAAAUCUGAUGCUUUCCAGAGACAAGGCCAGGCUUGGUUUUGCACAACUGGACUUCCAAGUGAUGUUGUCGUUGAAGUUGGGGAAAUGUCUUUCCAUCUCCACAAGUUUCCUUUGCUCUCUAGAAGUGGAGUCAUGGAAAGAAACAUCGCAGAGGCAUCUCAAGAAGCAGAUGAUGACAAAUGUCUCAUUCAAAUCUCUGAUCUUCCCGGAGGAGACAAAACCUUCGAGCUAAUGGCCAAGUUCUGCUACGGCGUAAAGCUAGAACUCACCGCCUCCAACGUUGUACACCUCAGAUGCGCAGCUGAGCAUCUCGAAAUGACUGAAGAGCACGCCGAAGGAAACCUAAUCUCCCAAACCGAAACUUUCCUCAACCAAGUCGUCCUCAAAAGCUGGAAAGACUCACUAAAAUCCCUCCAAACCUGCAGCGAGGUCUCCCACUACGCUGAGGAGUUAAACAUCACCAAGAAAUGCAUAGAGUCGCUAGCCGUGAGAGCAUCAACAACAGACCCGAACCUUUUCGGAUGGCCGGUCGUGGACCCCAUGCAGAGUCCAGGUGGCAGCGUGUUAUGGAACGGGAUAAGCACGGGGGCUAGAGUUAAACACACUAGCUCAGAUUGGUGGUACGAGGACGCGUCCACGCUUAGCUUUCCUCUCUUUAAGAGACUCAUCACAGUCAUGGACUCACGAGGAGGCGUAAGAGAAGACAUCAUCGCCGGUUCUUUAACUUACUACACAAGAAAACACUUACCCGGUUUAAAACGACGCCGUGGAGAACCUGAAGCUAGCGGUCGUUUCAGCAGCUCAGGGACGGUACUCUCCGAAGAAGAGCAGAAGCACUUGCUCGAAGAGAUCCAAGACCUUCUCCCCGUGCAAAAAGGUUUAGUCCCGACCAAGUUCUUCGUCGACAUGCUCAGAGUCGCCAAGAUUCUGAAGGCUAGCCAGCUAACUUGGAGAAGAGGAUAGGGAUGCAGCUCGACCAGGCGGCGUUGGAGGAUCUUGUGAUGCCUAGCUUUACUCAUACGAUGGAGACUCUAUACGAUGUUGACUCUGUGCAGAGGAUCUUGGAUCAUUUUCUUGGUACUGAUCAGAUCAUGACUGUUGGUGGUGGUGUUGGCUCUCCUUGCUCUUCGGUGGAUGAUGGGAACUUGAUGGGAUCACCGCAGAGGAUAACGCCGAUGACGGCGGUUUCGAAGCUGAUUGAUGGGUAUCUUGCUGAAGUGGCUCCUGAUGUUAAUCUCAAGCUUCCCAAGUUUCAAGCUUUAGCUGGUUCUGUUCCUGAGUGUGCUAGGCUCUUGGAUGAUGGACUCUAUCGUGCAAUAGACAUUUACCUAAAGCAUCAUCCGUGGUUAGCGGAAACAGAGAGAGAGAAUCUUUGCAGGUUGUUAGACUGCCAGAAACUCUCUUUAGAAGCUUGCACACACGCGGCGCAGAACGACAGAUUACCACUAAGAGUAAUCGUCCAAGUCCUCUUCUUUGAGCAGCUUCAGCUUAGAACCUCUGUAGCUGGAUGCUUCCUGGUUUCAGACAACCUCGAUGGUGGGUCAAGGCAGUUAAGAAGCGGCGGAUUUGCAGGAGGAUCAGCCGAAGGAGGAGGAGGAGGAGGAGGAUGGGCAAGUGCAGUAAGAGAGAAUCAAGUCUUGAAAGUUGGGAUGGACAGUAUGAGGAUGAGGGUUUGCGAGUUGGAGAAAGAGUGUUCUAAUAUGAGACAGGAGAUUGAGAAACUCGGUAAGACGAGUAAGGUUGGUGGUGGUGGCAAAACGUGGGAGAAUGUUUCUAAGAAACUCGGGUUUGGUAUAAAGCUGAAGUCACAUCAGAUGUGCAGUGCUCAAGAAGGGUCUGUGUCAAAGUCUAACAGUGAGAAUGUGAAGAUAGAGAAGCUUAAGGAUGUCAAGGAACGUCGUGGGAAGCAUAAGAAAGCUUCGAGCAUUAGUUCUGAAAGGUGAAAAUGGUAAAAAGUUUUCAUGGUUUAGCUUUUAAGGAAGAAGAAAGAGCUUAACAUUGUUAAAAAAAUAUGUGCAUUGUAGUCAAAGUGGUGCUUGUUCUCACGUGUUAUUUUCGAUUGUCUAUGUAUGACGACCAAACUGUUUUAUUGUCAUUAUUAUUGGAACUUGUUAAGGAAA